Small nuclear RNA from Octodon degus (degu), 106 nucleotides. The record is from Ensembl. Lineage: Eukaryota; Metazoa; Chordata; Mammalia; Rodentia; Octodontidae.
GUGCUCGCUUCAGCAGCACAUAUACUAAAAUUAGAACAAUCCAGAGAAGAUUAGCCUGGCCCCUGAAAAGGAUGACAUGCAAAUUGGUGAAGCAUUCCAUAUUUUC